RNAcentral lists this ribosomal RNA (465 nucleotides) under uncultured bacterium. RNAcentral's name for it is "partial 16S ribosomal RNA". It matches the Rfam family "Bacterial small subunit ribosomal RNA", at positions 338 to 795 of the family's 1533-position model. The record is from RNAcentral.
CCUACGGGAGGCAGCAGUAGGGAAUCUUGCGCAAUGGGCGAAAGCCUGACGCAGCGACGCCGCGUGAGGGAUGAAGGUCUUCGGAUCGUAAACCUCUGUCAGCAGAGAAGAACAGUCACUGUACUAAUCAGCAGUGAAUUGACGGUACCUGCAAAGGAAGCACCGGCUAACUCCGUGCCAGCAGCCGCGGUAAUACGGAGGGUGCGAGCGUUAAUCGGAAUUACUGGGCGUAAAGCGCGCGUAGGCGGUAUGUCAAGUCAAGGGUGAAAGCCCCGCGCUCAACGUGGGAACGGCCUUUGAAACUGGCAAACUGGAGUGGGUGAGAGGAUAGUGGAAUUCCAGGUGUAGGAGUGAAAUCCGUAGAUAUAUGGAGGAACAUCAGUGGCGAAGGCGACUAUCUGGCACAUAACUGACGCUGAGGAGCGAAAGCGUGGGUAGCAAACAGGAUUAGAUACCCGAGUAGUC